AUGGAAUUCCCGCUCAGGGGGAUGGAGCAGCAGAUCCGAAGGGGGGAGGGUGGGAAUUUGUGCCUAAAAACCGGGAAAGAGCCACAAUUCUCCUGGAUUUGCUGUUCCCAAUGUCCCAAGGAGAGGGGGAAGCCGCUCCAGGAGAAUCCUCGGCGCUCCGAAGGAAAUCAUUCCCAGCCUCCGGAAUCCUCCAGGGACGGGCUGGGAGCGGCUCUGGAAGUUUGGGAUCGCCGCAGGAUCCAGCUCCAGCAAUUCCAGCAGCAGAUUUUCCACCUUCCCAGGGGAAUCCUUCCCAGUGCUGGCUCCAGGAAUGUUCCCUUUGGAUCCACACCACGCUCUUCCUUCCUUUCUUCCACGGCUCCAGCUUUUCCCGGGAUGCUCCUGCCAAUCCUGAAGGGUUUGGAUCUCUUUUCCCAAAUCCUGGGGCAGCUGUGGAGCUGCUCGGAACUCCACACUUCAUUUCUUCCCAAGGGUUAUUCCCGGGGGUUAUUCCCAUGGGUUAUUCCCAAGGGUUUUUCCCAGGGAUUAUUCCCAGGGGUUAUUCCCAAGGGUUAUUCCCAUGGGUUAUUCCCAGGGAUUAUUCCCAGGGGUUAUUCCCAUAGGUUAUUCCCGAGGGUUAUUCCCAGGGAUUAUUCCUGGGGCUAUUCCCAGGGUUUAUCCCCAAGGGUUAUUCCCAUGGGUUAUUCCCAGGGAUUAUUCCCAUGGGUUAUUCCUGGGGUUAUUCCCAUGGGUUAUUCCCGAGGGUUAUUCCCAUGGGUUAUUCCUGGGGUUAUUCCCAUGGGUUAUCCCCAAGGGUUAUUCCCAUGGGUUAUUCCCAGGGGUUAUUCCCAGGGGUUAUUCCCAGGGAUUAUUCCCAUGGGUUAUUCCCAUGGGUUAUUCCCGUGGGUUAUUCCCGUGGGUUAUUCCCGUGGGUUAUUCCCAAGGGUUUAUCCCCAAGGGUUAUUCCCAUGGGUUAUUCCCGUGGGUUAUUCCCAAGGGUUAUUCCCAGGGUUUAUCCCCAAGGGUUAUUCCCAGGGGUUAUUCCCAGGGGUUAUUCCCAUGGGUUAUUCCCGGGGUUUAUUCCCGUGGGUUAUUCCCGAGGGUUAUUCCAUCCCUCUGGCUCCGUUUGCAGCUCUCCAGUGAGGAUCAAAGCCUUGCCACGACGCCUCAGAGCAGACGGAUCUUCCCAGAGAAUUCCCCCUUUUUUUUCUUUUCUCCCUCUCCCUCAACCUUGAAAUUCCCAAGGCGGGAUCAGAAAAUCCAGCGGGAUCAGAAAAUCCAGCGGGAUCAGUUUUUUUCCUCAUGCUGAAAAUCAGGGAAAAAUCAAAAAUUUAAAAAAAAAAAAAAUCCAAAAAUCCAGAGACAUCCAAACGUAAAACUUCCAGGAAAAGUCGGGAAUAGUGCCGUGACAUUCUUUGUUCCGCGAGGAUCCCGCGGGGCCGGGCUCGGUUCCCCCAGGAUUCCUUUUCCCGGGAGCCGGGGCUCCGGAUCCUGCUAUGCUGGGUUUCCCGGGAAUGCUGGGUUUCCCGGGAAUGCUGGGCCCUCUCCUCCAGGGAAAAGAGCAGGAGCAGCAGCAGCAGGAGCUCGGCCUCCUCCCCAGCACGGCAGGAGGGCAACAACCAAAUUCCUGCCAGGAAAAAACACCAGGAAUCGGGAUCAGACAGGAUUGGGGCCUGGAGGAGAGCGGGAAUGGGAAUGAGGGAGGAGCAGGAGGGUUUCCUGAGGAAAGAUGGGAAUGGUAAAAGGGCGGGAAUCCUGUUCCCUUUCCCAAGGAAAGUUGGGAAUGGUAGAACAUGAAAUUUUGUUCUCCUCUCCAGGGAAAGUUUGGGAAUGGUAAAAGGGCGGGAAUCCUGUUCCCUUUCCCAAGGGAAGUUGGGAAUGGUAGAACACGAAACCUUGUUCUCCUCUCCAGAGAAAGUUUGCGAAUGGUAAAAGGGUGGGAAUCCUGCUCCCAUUCCCAAGGGAAAAAGACCAGGAAGCCUUGCUCUCCUUCCCAAGGAAAACUGGGAAUGGUGGAACACCAGGAAAUCCUGUUCCCCCUCCCAUGGAAAACCGGGAAUGGUACAAGGCCAAGCAAUCCUGUUGUUCCCUUUCCUGAAGAAAAGCUGGGAAUGAUGGAAGAGCCCGGAGUGAGCAGCCAUGG
RNAcentral lists this long non-coding RNA (2122 nucleotides) under Cyanistes caeruleus (blue tit). Its description in RNAcentral is "lncRNA (ENSCCEG00000021853.1)". Lineage: Eukaryota; Metazoa; Chordata; Aves; Passeriformes; Paridae. The record is from RNAcentral.